UGAAGCCGCGAAUAGCUCAUUACAAUAGCCGUUGUUUCUUGGAUCCUCAAUUUACUUGGAUACCUGUGGUAAUUCUAGAGCUAAUACAUGCGACUAAGGGCCGAACUCACGUGACGCUUGCAUUUAUUAGAUCAAGACUAACCGGCUUCGGCCGUUAACUUGGUGACUCUGAAUAACUCAGCUGAUCGCACGGUCUAGUGCCGGCGACAUAUCUUUCAAGUGUCUACCUUAUCAACUGUCGAUGGUAGUUUAUGUGACUACCAUGGUUGUAACGGGUAACGGAGAAUCAGGGUUUGACUCCGGAGAGGGAGCCUGAGAAACGGCUACCACUUCUAAGGAAGGCAGCAGGCGCGCAAAUUACACAAUCUCAGCACGAGGAUGUAGUGACGAAACAUACCGAGGCGAUGCCCUUUCGGGUGUCGUCAUUGGAAUGAGUCGAAUCUAAAAAAUUCGGCAAGGAUCUAGUGGAGGGCAAGUCUGGUGCCAGCAGCCGCGGUAAUUCCAGCUCCGCAAGUGUAUAUCUAUGCUGUUGCGGUUAAAAAGCUCGUAGUUUGAUUCGCGUACUUAGCACGCAGUGUGGCCUUUCGGCUACUACUGUGAUGCGGUACAUUAUCGUCAGUUUGUCGUUGAUGCUCUUCAUUGGGUGUCAGCGGCGGCUGUCAAGUUUACUUUGAACAAAUUAAAGUGCUCAAUACAGGCGUUUCGCUUGUAUAGUUCUGCAUGGAAUAAUAGAAUAGGACUUACGUUCUAUUGUGUUGGUUUUCAGAACGAAAGUAAUGAUUAAGAGGGACAGACGGGGUCAUUCGUACUGCCACGUUAGAGGUGAAAUUCUUGGAUCGUGGCAAGACGAACUACUGCGAAAGCAUUUGACAAGAAUGUUUUCAUUAAUCAAGAACGAA
Molecule: ribosomal RNA, 899 nt
Filed under: Halomonhystera disjuncta
Lineage: Eukaryota; Metazoa; Nematoda; Chromadorea; Monhysterida; Monhysteridae
Description: SSU rRNA
Rfam family: Eukaryotic small subunit ribosomal RNA
Source: RNAcentral